UCUGCCUGUAAAAUCUUGUGCAUGAAGAUGCUUUGAAUCCAACCCCACUGCAUGAGCAGAAGCCCCCCACUUUCAUGUAAAAUUACAUCAUGUAAAAAAAUAUUUUGAAAAGUAAUUGUUAGGAAACUUCCAACUACUCUGAAAAGCAUGGAGUAACAGGCUUUAGUUUUACCAUGGAAAUGAUGAAAUUGACAGCACACUUGUUUUUACUAGCAUUAACCUUACACAUUACGGACCUAAUUUUCUUUUAAAAAAUAAAUUGUAGGAAAGAGAAUUUUAGAAAAAUAAAAUAUUUUUUGAUUUUUUAUAGUGUAAUGAAAAAUAAGUUAGAAAAUACUUUUUGAUGUUUAGUUAUGUCAUGGAAAAUAAAUUAGAAAAUAACUUAUUAAUAAUUUAUUUUUCUCAAGUUUACUAAAAUAACAAUGAAUAAAUUUUAUAAAAUCUUACAAAUUAAAAAGUUGAAUGAGAAUGAAAUUAAAAAAAAUAUAAUUUUAUAAAUUAUCUCAAAUAAAAUAAAUAAUAAUCAAAAUAAUAGAGAUCAAAUCUAAAAAAUAAAAAAAAUAAAAGAUGAAGAAUUUAAAAUAAUAAUAAUUAACAUUUCAUAAAUUAUUUCAAAUAAAAUAAGUAUCAAUCAAAAGAAUGAGGAUCAAAUUUAAUAUAUAAAAAAUUUCAAUAAAAAAAUAAUAAGAGAAAAACAAAUAACAAUUAUAAAAAUAAGGACCUAAGUUAAUAUAAAAAUUAAAUUUUAAGAGAUGAAAUUAAAAAAUAAAUAUUCAAAACAAAAUAUAUAUAGCAAUAAGAGUUUGAAGAUCAAAUUUGAUAUAAUCAGCAACUAAUAUGAUAUUUCUAAAUUUUUCACAACUUUCAAAAAGUGUUUUUCGCCUAAAUUUUUCAGGAAAAUACUUUGCUGGAAACCAAACCAAAUUUUUCUUUGAUUGAAAAAUAUUUUCCGUUAACCAACUUUUCUAAUCACAAAAAAAUAUAGAAAAAUUUGAAAAAUAAUUUGUUAAAAAAUAAAUUUCAAAAAACAUUUGAUUACAGAUAUUGGAUCGAUAUUGUCAUCAAUCAAACCAUAAAGACAAGAAAAAUGACUGGUAGUUGAAGUUUAGGGUAGAAGCCAUCUGCCUUCCCUUGCAAUUGCAUACGUAAGCCAAUACAUAUGAAAAUUGUCGUAUUUAAAAAAGAUUGAAUUGAAUUGAAUUUAUUUUUUAUAUUUUUUAUAUUAUUUUUAUUUUAUUUCUUUAAAUAUCUCUAAAAAAUAAUAAAUAGAUGUUUUGAGAAGGUUAGUUUUAAAUUUAAAUUUUUUAUUUUAGAAUUUAAAUCAAAAGAGUUGGCAUCUGUUUAUUUUUUUUAUCAUUUUUAAAAAUUAAAUUCUAUUUAGAAUUUAAUUAUUGAUACUUAAAAUUAUUCAAAACAUGAAAUUUUAUUAAAAUUUUUAAAUUAAAUUAAAUUUAAAAGUUUUCAAACAUCUUUAUAACGAAAAUUGUACUCCUUUCUCUCACGUAAGUGAAAUUCAUAAAAAACAAAUAUCUAGGAAAUACAACAUUAUGAUCAUCACAUCAGCAGUGUUCUUUCGGACCACACAAUUCGGACGCAAAAGGCAUACAUAUAUGCAGGCAGGAGUACUCCUACACGAGAACGAAAAGCACAAAGACUGGUUUUGUUAAUUAGAGAAAUGGAGAAGCAAGAAAGAAUCUGUCAUGUAGUGGUCAUACCUUAUCCUGUUCAAGGUCACAUUAACCCCAUGAUCCAGUUCUCCAAGCGCCUAGCCUCCAAAGGACUCCAAGUAACACUGGUCAUCUUCUCAAGCCAGACGCUCUCGACGCCUGCAUCGCUUGGCUCAGUCAAAGUGGUGACCAUUUCUGAUGGUUAUGAUGCAGGCAGCAGUUCCAUAGCUGACCUUCUAACAAUUCCAAGAUACAGUGACACAAAAACUGCCACAACUCGUUGUAGAACUAGGUAUCUCUUCUGGGCAUCCAGUAAGUUGCCUAGUGUAUGACUCAUUCAUGCCUUGGGUUCUAGAGAUAGCUAGACAGCUUGGCCUCAUUGGGGCUUCCUUCUUCACACAGUCAUGUGCUGUUAACUCUGUCUACUACCAAAUCCAUGAGGGGCAGCUAAAGAUUCCACUAGAGAAGUUUCCUGUAUCAGUUCAAGGGCUGCCACCUCUAGACGUUGAUGAACUGCCAUCAUUCGUGCACGACAUGGAAUCAGAAUACUCAUCUAUACUUACCGUAGUAGUCAAUCAGUUUUCGAAUUUCAGGGGAGCUGAUUGGAUCUUUGUGAACAGUUUCAACACCCUGGAGGAGGAGGUACCCCUGAAGAAGUUACAUAAAGAAAAGUAGCAGUACCUCGAGUUCCCAUGAAUUCUUUUUUAUCUGCUCGUACUAAUAGAUAUUACCAUAUUUGCAAAGUAUGCUGCCUUCAAUUCUAUGGCACUCAAGAUUUUGCUUAUUUGUAUCAGGUGGUAAACUGCCUGGCAAGCCAGAGGUCAAUCAAGCCAAUAGGACCCAUGAUUCCAUCAGUUUACUUGGACAGGCAGCUAGAGGAUGACACUGAGUAUGGCCUCAGCCUCUUCAAACCUGCUGUCGACGGUUGCAUGGAAUGGCUAGAUUCGAAGGAAACUGGCUCCGUGGUUUACGUGUCAUUUGGAAGCUUGGCUGCUCUGGGAGAAGAGCAAAUGGCAGAAAUAGCUUGGGGCCUAAGGAGGAGCGACUGCUACUUCUUGUGGGUAGUCAGAGAAUCGGAAGAGAAAAAACUUCCAUGCAACUUUGUGGAGGGGUCCUCAGAGAAGGGUCUGAUUGUGACCUGGAGCCCUCAGCUAGAGGUUCUGUCUCACAAGUCUGUUGGUUGCUUCAUGACUCAUUGCGGGUGGAACUCGACGCUUGAAGCGUUGAGCUUAGGAGUGCCGAUGGUGGCAAUGCCACAGUGGACUGAUCAACCAACAAAUGCGAAGUACAUAGAAGAUGUUUGGCGUGUAGGAGUUAGAGUGAAGGCAAAUGAAAAGGGGAUUGUCACCAAGGAAGAGUUAGAAAAGUUUACGAGGGAAGUCAUGGAAGGUGAAAGAGGGAGUGAGAUGAGAAGGAAUUCUGAGAAAUGGAAGAAACUAGCCAAAACAGCCAUGGGUGAAGGUGGAAGCUCUGAUAAGAAUAUUACGGAAUUUGCAGCAAAGAUUGCUAGCAAGUUCAAUGAAACCACAGAUUCAAAAGCGUGAAAGCUAUGCAUGGCCUUAAAACUUGGAAAAAUGCUUCUUCUCCAUCAAUUUAUUUUACAAGAUUCGAUGAUAGUUGUCAUAUGAAGUAUGAACUAUAAAAUACAAGAUCCAAAUCAUGUUUUCAUGAUGAAAGAAAUAAUAUCAUGUUACUCCAUUUCAAUCUCUUUUCUUCUUCUUAUUUUUUAGAAAAAAAUCAAUUAUAAACAAAAAUAAACGGUUAAGAUUCACACUUUGAUAUAUUACACAUAAGAUUUUUAUUAACAUGUGUGAGAAUAUUGUUCUGUCAAUUAUUCAUUAUGAUUUAGAAAGACAAGUCACAAGCCAACACACAUUUCCAAACAAGCAUUAAAGAUUGAACAAUGAUGGAAAAAAUAAGUCAAAAAAAUCAAAAACCAAGUUCCCAUGGGCAAAAUUCGACCACAAUUUUGUGGUGAGGAGGAAUUGGAUGGAAAUUCAACAACGUUCAAAUUUCAAGGGUGCCGAACCCAUACAUUUUUUGCUUCACCUAUUUUUGAGUCAAAACAAUAGUUUCACGAGUGGUUAUGAGUUAGACGAGUUAUUACAUAUAUUAUUUAUGGGUUUGGUAUCAUACCGAGUUCAAGUAAGUAGAGUCCCAUGAGUAUUAGAUGUAGCGCCUGUUCGAGAAUAUAUUUACAGUUGAUUUUUAAAGUAUUUUUUACGAUGAAAUAUAUUAAAAUAAUAUUUUUUUAUUUUUUAAAAAUUAUUUUUAAGAUAAACGCACUAAAACGUUUUAAAAUAUAUAAAAAAUUAAUAAUUUUUACAUGAUUUAUACCGCAUUUUUAAACAAUGUCUUAGUUUUCUUAAACUUGGCUAAACGCCAAGCCUUUAUUAAUUAUGGAUCCAGGGAACUGUCAGAUUUAUUAUUCGUAAACUUGAUUGCACAUUUAAACAUGGAUAUGGCGACCUUCUCAAACUGGGCUUGGCUUCAAAUUUCAUUCGAACGGCUGAGAAGCUGAAACAUGAAAAACAACAUUUUGUUGUUGAGUAGCAUCCUGUCGAUCAAUUUUCCCGCAAGAUUAUUAGGCGUAAGAGGCAUCAUCAUCGUGGCAGAGUAGAUACGUGCACCCAUAAUAUAAGCUUGAUGAAUUUUGUCUUCAAUCAUGUAUUUACUGUCUUGGGAAAUUUUCAUAUCUUUGAAGAUUUUGAUAUCUUAGCAAAUAUAUUUGUUAGCAACAACAAAUUGCUAAUGUAAGCAAAAAAAAAGAAACUUUAACAUGUAAAAUAUAAAUUUUACAUCGAAUCAAUGUGAAAAUAUAAUUAUUUGUGAGCAUGGAUUUAUUGAUUAUCAAUGUGAAAAUAUAAAUCUCGCUAACGUAAAAAAAAAGAAUUAAUAUGCAAAAUAUAAGUUAGUCAACAAAAACAAUCCAAUAAAUGAUUGACACACGUCAAUUCAAAAUUUAAAAAUAAAAAAUAAUCUUAAAUAAAAAAAAGGAUGAAAAUCAAUUUUUUUAAUGAAAUAAAAAAAAAUAUUGUUAUCCAUAAAUAUAAUUACCCUUGCGUGAGCACAUGCCCUUUAUGGGGUAUCAGAUUCAGGAAUACAGGGCUUGAAAGCAUUGUAUGAACAGUUUUUGUUCGCCAUUAUCCAAGGAUGGGCCUUUUUCUGUUAUUUCUUUGAAAAUACAGUUUAAUUUUUUAACUUUAUUUUAUUUAUUUAAAUAUACACACCUUGGAAAAUGACCCUCGCCCAUUUUUAAAACAACCCAGAAUCCAAGAAUUAAUCAAAAUCACCAAAAGAUCAUUCACUCUCUUGUAUGGGUCAUAGUUAUAGAACCGAAUUCUCUUGGUGAGUUGACUUAGGAUUUAAUAUCUAGACUUAUCCGAGCCAAAGAAAAAACUAAGAGAGAAAUCGAUUCGAUCUAAUCUGAUUAAAAACUCAAGUUGAUCUGUGACCCGAUCAAUCUUGAUAAAACCUAACAAAAAAUAUGUUAGAGUUUUUUUUAUAUAUAAAAAAAAACAUUGUCACAUAGAUCCUUUAAAAAAAUAUUAGUAAACCCUCCUAAUUUAAUGAACCAAGCCUUAUUUCAAAUCGAUUUCCAGAUCAAAUUUUUAAAACUAUGGCAUGGAUGAUCAACCUCGUAAUUAUGGUUUAUUUGUUUCUACGUUUUAAAAGCGUUUUUAAAAAUUUUAAAUUUUUUUCUUUGUUUCAAAUUAAUAUUUUUGUUUUUUCCGGAUCAUUUUGAUCUACUGUUGUCAAAAAUAAUUUUUAAAAAUAAAAAUAUAUAUUAUUUUAAUGUAUUUCUGAGCAAAAUACACUUUAAAAAAUAAUCAUUAUCAUCCUUUUAAACACCUUUUAAAAAAGAUGAAGAAAAAUAAUUUUGCUUUUUAGUAAGAGAAAUUUUUGUGAACAUGAACCGUCCUUUUCUUAUCAGAGACUCCUGGAAACUGUUAACAUUAGAGCUCCUUUCUUCACCUUCUGAGGGAUAGUUGAUGACUCUACGGAGGACGGUCUUUCAUCUCUCUGAUACAGUGUUUGAAUGGCAUUGGCUAUUGAUGAAUUUCUCGCAUGAAAGAACUUUUGGGCAUUGGCUGUUAGAUUCUGGUGGGUGUUUUGGAUUAGAUCUGAAGUCACAUUCUCUGAAUUAUAUUCAUUGAGGGCAUGACAUGGUCCUAGGUCCCUGGCAUGAGCCUAGUGAUAUGCUUAGUUAGCCUUAAUAAAUUUUAAACUAACAAGGGCACAAUGUAAUAACAUCCAAGUUCUUGAACCGAUUUAGUUUAAAAUUUUUGUUGGCUCUGCCUUAACGUUAAGGCUGAAAGAGAAAUCUGGUUACUGAAUAUAGAAAUCUGGUGUUGUAUCAAUUUUGGAGUGCUUUGAUGCGAAGGUCCGUGCCUAACUCCUCUUCUCUUCCAGAAAUAGAAUUCAUAUGUGUGAGCUAUCCAUCAUCUUUUAUCUGUAUUGAGUCCCUUGUUGCUUAUUGAACGUACAUUUGGGUAAAUGGUAAUCAUACGAGUUUAAUGAUAUAAUUAAUUUAAGAAAGAAGAAGUAUAGCACAGAAGAAGUCUGUGGUCAGUGAUUAUUCAGUACUGUUGUUGCCUAAUUUUUAUCCAUCUUUUUAAUAAAAUUUUCAAAAAAAUCUAAAAAUAGCGAAAAACAACAAAAAUCCAAAAAAUACGUUUUUUAAUAUAUUUGCAUUGUUUUUAUCAUUUUCAGCAUCGUCUCAAAAAAAUUUAAAUUUUUAAAGAUCUUUGGAACGCGUUAUUUUUAAAAUCACCGAUUUUUCUCAUUCGAGUCGAUGUUGAUAAGAAAAAUCUAAACAGAAACGGCUAUGACCCGCAGAUCCAGAUCCACUUCCAACCGAACCCGCCGACUGAACAACCACACCCAUCUCCUCAACAGCAACGGCCGUGACCCGCCACCGCUAGAUAUGCCACCGGAAGGAGAGGGAAAGAACAACAAACCAGGAAAGACUCGAAAGAAGCAGAUCAUGAGAAGGAGAAGAAAAAUAACGGAUCCAUGAAAAAGGAGAAAGAAAUUAAAAUCAACUGGCUUGUGUGUUUUUCUCCUUUUGUAGGUGACAGUGAUCCUCACCGCCGGUGAGGAAAGGAAGAGGAGAAGAAGCCAAUCUCGAUUGCCCUGUUUCCCGGUUCUCGCAGGGGCGAGUGAAUCCACGCGCCGCCAGUGGCAAUGUCGCGUGGAGAAGACGCGCCGCCACUGUUCUUGCAGUUCUAGAAGGCCUUCCCUGCAAUUCCUGGAGUUUUGGGGUUUAUUUUGUAAAUUUAAAAUUGUUUAAUGUACAUUUUGUUUAGUUUUGAAUUUUUAUAAUCUGUAGUGUGCAAAUGUGGAUGUAGAAAAGGAAAACAAAAAAAUAUAUAGUGAAAGUGAAUGUGUUGUUUGUAUUUUUUUAUGAUAAACUUGCAAAGAAUAAAGAAGAAUUUAAUGUUUUGACUUGCUCACGGUAAAAGAUUAUGAACUUACACGUAAGUUGUAUUUCUAAUAUCCGAUGAAAAGACAAAAUUUUUAAAACUUCUUUAUCAUAUCAAAUCACGAAGCAGUUUACCUCAGGUAGGGUGCGCUAGGGGUGCUAAUACCUUUCCUAGCCACAACCAGUCCCUUACCCUUGAAUCUCUGACGAUGACCAGUACAUUUGGGUUUCCUAGUAACCUUCAAUGAAAUACUAGGUGGUGACUCCCAAAUCAUCAAUCAAACAAAUGAAAAUCGCCAACAGACGCCGCGCGGGUCACGUGCGACAAGUACCCUUCUAUUAAAAAUAACUUUGGCAUUUAUAGCCAUACACUUCAUAACAGAACUAACAAACAAACAAAUAAGAAAGAGUUCCAGCACUCUCCACGUCUAACAAUUAACCAACUGAUCCACGUUUUGCAGUUCCCUAAAGUAGUGCAGUCACUACUUGUUCCUGUAGCAUGAUCUCCUGACCACGUUCUUGUGAUAGUGGAUGUAUCAUUCCCGCCCACUUAAGAAUCCUUGUCCACAAGGAUAGAAGAAGGAUAAGUCCUAGUGAAACGCCAUUCAUUCUCCACUGGUUCGAGUUGGCCAUUCAUAGUGUCCUCACUGUAUAUGUUAGGAGAAUCCCAAAUCAUAAAUAAUUGAGGAUGUUGGCAACGAUGUCCUGGAAUAAACUUUUCAUCACAGUAGUAGCAUAAACCCGUCUCUCUUCGCUCUCGUGCCUCUUGAUUAGUAAUUCUGCAAAAAGACGCUGGCGGUGCACUGGGACUGGUAUUUAUCCUUAGACCAUGUGGUGGCCCUAACACUCCAGCCGUGGGGUUGGGUGAUGUCUUUGCUAUCACUGAGGUUGGUACUAGGUUUGGUACAGACUGUAUUGGGAGAGGGCCUCUCUUCUUCAACUGAUUUUUUUCCUCAAUCAAUCUUGCCACUCUAAUGGUAUUUGCCAAGGUAUGGGGUUGCUUAAUUUUAACAUCCAAACGAAUCUCAUCCCGAAGUCCUGCAAUAAAACAACCAAUCAAAAAAUUUCCCGGCAAGCCAUCAACUUGAUGUGAGAGUCUCUCAAAAGUCUCUUGAUAAGCUGCCACCAACGUGUUUUGUUUAAGACGAGUCAAGGCUUCAGACAGGUCCUCAUUGUCGGUUGGACCGAAUCACUGUUGUAUAGCUUUCAUAAACUCAUCCUAUGUUAAUGGUCCGCGAAACUUGGUCAACCACCUAUGCCACUAUAAGGCAAUGCCUCUAAAUGGAAAGAGGCCAGCUGAACCUGUUGGUUUGGCACAAAAUUUUGAAAUUCAAAAUAUUAUUCUACCUUGUAAAUCCAUCCAGUUGGAUCACCUCCAUUAAAUUUAGGAAAUGAUAACUUGAGAUUGUGGUGUUGAUGGUUAUUAAUGGGGUUAGGGUGGGUGGUCUGGUGGUGUGAAGACUCUUCAUUAGCAAAGGUGUAAUGUUAGGAGAACUAGUGUUUAGUUUACGGGUAGUAUGAAGAGCUUGAAGUUCUGUCAAUACCACUUAUAAGGUAGCAUUAAUUUGAUCAAAGCUCGACUCGUGUCUAACUAGGAUUUCAUUGACUUCAUUGCGAAAUUAUGUGUUUCAUUUGCCGCGAGUAUCCAUAGUCUAAACUAAGAAUAACCGGGGGGAACAAGGACCUAUGGGUUAUGGGGAAUCAGGCUCUGAUACCACUGAUAUAAUUAAUUUAAAAAAGAAGAAGCAUAGCAGAGAAGAAGUCUGUGGUUGGGGAUUAUUCAGUACCCUUCUAUUAAAAAUAACUUUGGCAUUUAUAGCCAUACACUUCAUAACAGAAUUAACAAACAAAUAGGAAGGAGUUACAACACUCUCCACGUCUAACAAUUAACUAACUGAUUCACGUUUUACAGUUCCCUAAAAUAGUGCAGUCACUAUUUUUCCUAUAGCAUGAUCUCCUGGCCACGUUAUUGUGAUAGAGGAUAUCAUUUAAGUGCUUCUGGCACCAUGACAGUGUUUGAAAUAUGGAUCAUCUGCUAUUCUUUCCAUUGAAAUACACUAGUGUACAGGUGAAACACAAAAGGAGGCAUGAGCUAACAAAAUUUCAGCAGUGUUGAAGAUAUUAUUAAAUCUAUUGAAGAUAAUACUGAUACUGAAGAUAAACAUGAUCAGGGAUCACUGAUACUGAAGAUAAUCGUGAUCUCUGAUCAUAUCUGCACAAGAGAUUAUCACUGAUACUGAAGAUAAUCAUGAUCAGUGAUUACUGAUACUGAAGAUAAUACUGAUAUUGAAGAUAAUCAUGAUCAGGGAUUGCUAUCAUAAUCAGGGAUCCCUGAUACUGAAGAGAUCAUGAUCAGGGAUCACUGAUACUGAAGAUAAUCAUGAUCUCUGAUCAUAUCUGCACAAGAGAUUACUGAUACUGAAGAUCAUCGUAAUCAUAUCUGCAACAGAUAUUCUAGGAAUUAAGUGUAUAUCUUAUCAUUAAUUGCAUUCUUAAUGAUAGGAUUUUUGAAUCAGGGAUUGUAAUAUAUAUAAGACCAUGAUGUAACAGUAUAUCAAUUAAUAAAGCAAAUAUAUUUCUGUAAUUCUUCUUCCGCACAUCUUUCUCUCUUUAUUCUUUUAUCUUUCAUGGUAUCAGAGCCAUUGACACACGUCACACAAAUGGCUUCCUUUUCACUAAACAGCUCAGAUGUUGCUACUAAUGGCAAUCCCCCACCUGUUUCUCCUCCAGCUAUAAAUGUUACAAAACUCUCAAAAGACAACUAUCAUAUCUGGAAAGCUCAAUUAAUUCCUUUCUUCCGUGGGCAAGGUCUCUUUGGAUGCCUUGAUGGAACCCUUCCCGUCCCACCCAAAGAAGUUUCCAUAGCUGAAACCUCCUCUGCCAUCUCCAACCCUCUCUAUGAACAUUGGUAGCGACAAGAUGCCAUCAUAGUUGCUAUUCUCUUCUCUAUAAUUUCAGAAAACGUUCUUAUUCAAGUGGUCUCUCAUACCACCUCUGCUGCAAUCUGAUGUGCUCUAGCCAAAUCCUUCUCCUCUCAAUCACGUGCUCGGGUUAUUCAACUCCGCACUGAACUCGUCAACACUCGUAAAGGUGCACAAUCAGCUCAUGAUUUUUUUAUGUAGGUCAAACGCAUGACAGAUGAACUUGUUGUUGCCGGCCAUGCUCUUCACUGUGAUGAAAUCAUCUCCUAUCUCUUAUCGGGUCUUGGCCAUGAUUAUGACUCCUUUGUUAUUACCAUCACAACCCGCACAGAUCCUGUCACCUUAAAGGAAGUAUAUGCUCUCUUACUCACCACAGAGUCACGUCUGCAGCACCACAAUUCACCCAUUGUCCAGCCCACUGUUCAUGUUGCUACUCGUCAGUCCUCUUCUUCUUCCUAUAGAGGGCGAAAUUCAUAUAGAGGUAGAGGCUGGAAUUACAAAGAAGUCUUUUUCUAUAAUGGUUCCAAUGGCAGGAACACAUUUCAUAGAGAUACUAUGAUAUGUCAGGUCUGUGAUAAACCUGGCCAUUCUGCAAAAAAAUGCUAUCAUCGGUUUGACGUUACCUAUCGUGACAAUGCUGCAAAAUCCAGCAAUCUGCAAGGUCUGAUGGCUAUAACAAGUUCUGUUUCUGCAACUGAUUGGCAUCCUGAUACAGGUGCUACACAUCAUCUCACCAAUAAUAUGGCCAACUUAAAUCUACGGAGUGAAGACUAUACUGGUUCAGAUCAAAUCCUUGUUGGCAAUGGUGCAGGUUUGCAAAUUUCUCAAAUUGGUUCCUCUAUUUUAACUCCCUCAAAAACACCGUUUGUGCUCAAACAAUUACUUCUUGUCCCUGAAAUUCAAAAAAAUCUAAUUUAUGUUCAACAAUUUUGCAGUGAUAAUCUUGUGUUUUUUUAAUUUCAUGAUCGUUUUUUUUCUCAUUAAGGACUACUCGAGGAAAAUCCUUCAUUGCGGCACCUUUAAAGAUGGUCUGUAUUCAUUCUCCAGCCUGUCAGACACACUCCCUCCUCAUGCACUCACUGUUGUACGAGCUUCUUACCAAAUAUGGCACAACAAGCUUGGUCAUGCAUCCUUUCCAGUUCUUCAAAAAUCUAUUUCAGCAUUUACAUUACCUGUUGCAAAUAAAAGGCUUCCAGUUUGUUCCGAUUGUCUACUAGCUAGAAGCAGUCAAUUGUCUUUCAAAACCAGCAAUCACAAAUCUAUUAAUCCUUUAGACAUAGUGCAUACUGAUGUUUGGGGACCAGCACCCAUCUUGUCAACCAGUGGUGCUCGAUACUAUUUAUGUUUUUUAGACAAUUGCACUAAAUUCAUAUGGUUGUUUCCUCUUAAACUCAAAUUUGAUGUUGAGAAAGUCUUUCUGCUCUUUAAAACUUCAGUUGAACGACAAUUUAAUCGUACCAUAAAAAAAUUCAAUCUGAUUGGGGAGGCGAAUAUCGCCGCAUGUCUACACUUUUAACUCAAAUUAGCAUUCAUCAUCGUAGAGCAUGCCCAUACACUCAUUAGCAAAUGGGUGCAGUUGAACGUCGUCAUAAACAAAUUGUUAAGGUCGGUCUUUCCUCACUCUCACAUUCUAAAAUUCCACAACAAUUUUGGGAAGAUGUUUUUCUCACGGCCACUUAUAUUAUCAAUCGUCUCCCUACUCCUAUUCUUAAUAAAAAAAUCUCCAUACAAAAUUGUUUAUCGUCAUACUCCUGACUAUCAUUUCCUUAAAGUUUUUGGUCGUGCAUGCUGGCCUUAUCUUCAACCAUAUAAAAAACACAAAAUCGAUUUCAGAUCUAAAAACUGUAUUUUUAUUGGUUAUAGCUUGGACCAUCAUGUAUAUAAAUACCUUGAUCUUGCAACAGGUAAAGUUUAUGUAUCUCGUCAUGUCGUUUUUGAUGAAAACCAUUUUCCAUAUAAAAGUCCUGAUCACCAAUCUUCUAUCUGUCUAGACACACCCUCCAUCGUAGUUCCAUUUUCAAAUACUAUUUCUUCCUUGUCACUAACACUUGUAGGUACAUGUGCAACUUCACCAUCGCCACACAUUGACUCUCCUCUGCCAGCAUCAUCUCCAACUUCAGAGUCGGCACCUCAAUCCCCAGCAGACAUUACCCCUGCCUCCCCUCCCAUACCAGUUCCACAUCCCACAGACACAAUCCCAACAAUUUCAAAUAAUCACCCGAUGGUUACAAGAUCAAAAAAUCACAUUUCCAAACAAAAAAAAACCCCUGAUGGACACAGCUUAUAUCCCCUACCCCGAGCACUGCAGGUUUCUGCCUUUCCCUCCUGCAAGGAACCAACCUCAUUUACUGAAGCCGCCAAAUCUUGUCAUUGGCGAUCUAUAAUGAAUUCUGAAUUUGAUGCCUUGCUCCGCAAUCAAACCUAGUAACUGGUCCCUCCAUCACGCCAUCUUAAUGUCAUUGGCUAUCGUUGGAUUUUCAAGACUAAAGGAAAGCUGAUGGCUCCAUUGAAAGAUAUAAGGCCCGACUGGUAGCUAAAGGUUAUCAUUAGCAGCUAGGGGUGGAUUUUCAUGAAACUUACAGUCCAGUUGUAAAACUUGCAACUAUCCAGCUUGUUUUAUCCAUUACAGUCUGCAACAAUUGGACAGUUUGUCAACUGGAUGUCCAAAAUGCAUUUCUUCACAACAAUCUGUUAGAAGUGGUUUAUACCAGGCUUCAAACAUCCUCAGUUUCUUGAUCAUCUCUGUAAGCUCAAACUCUCUUUAUAUGGCCUUAAACAAGCGCCUCGCCAGUGGUUUUCAUGCCUUGCUGCUGUGUUGAUACAGUUCGGUUUUGUUGCCAGCAAGGCAGACUUGCCACUCUUUAUGCACACCGACACCUCUAGCAUCAUCUUCAUCCUCAUUUAUGUUGAUGACAUUAUCAUCACUGGUUCUAAUGAUGUCAUUGUCACAGAUAUCAUUCAGCGGCUGUAUAAGGAAUUUGUUAUCACUAACCUUGGUCCUCUCAGUUUUUUCUUAGGCAUUGAAGCCAUACGUGAUGCUACAGGUCUCUAUCUCACUCAACGCAGAUACAUUGCCGAUCUUCUUACAAAAUCCAAAAUGGAUGGUGCUAAGCCGUGUUUCACUCCAAUGUCCACCACUGUGGCAUUGACAGCAACUGAUACCGAAGCAUUUGAUGAUCCUACCCUGUACAGAAGCAUUGUUGGUGGCCUUCAUUAUCUCUCAUUCACUUGGCCUGAUAUUGCUUUCGCCGUUCAUCGUGUUAGCAAAUUCAUGCAUCAACCGAAACAGUCCCACUGGAUGUGUAAAGAGAAUCCCGCGCUAUCUCAAACACUCCAUCUCCUACUGUUUACUAUUGUCUUGCAGCAGCUCCUUCACAUUUCAGGCGUUCUCUGAUGCAGAUUGGCAGGGGACACAGAUGAUCGUCGCUUUGUUGGUGCCUACUGUGUGUUUCUUGGCUCAAAUUUAAUUUCCUGGCGUAGCAAACAAUAGGCUAAAGUUGCUCGUAGCAAUAUCGAGGCUGAAUACAAGGCUCUCGCAGACACUGCAGCUGAACUCCAAUGGUUACAAUUUUUAGCUGCAAAACUUGGUUUGCACCUAUCUCAAAGUCCCACUCUUUGGUGUGAUAAUAUUGGUGCCACGUAUCUAUCCUCCAAUCCAGUGUUUCAUGCACGCACAGAGCACAUCAAGAUUGAUUUUCACUUUGUCAGAGAUCUUGUUUCUCAAAAGAAAUUGACUGUCAAUUUUCUGUCUAGUCGUGAUUAGCUAGCCGAUCUCCUACAAAACCACUCUUUGCUGCUCAGUUCAAUAUUCUGUGCUCCAAUCUCAACGUUUGUAACCUCCCGUUCAAAUUGCAGGGGCAUGUUGAAGAUAUUAUCAAAUCUACUGAAGAUAAUACUGAUACUGAAGAUAAACAUGAUCAGGGAUUACUAUCAGGAUCAGGGAUCACUGAUACUGAAGAUAAUUGCGAUCUCUGAUCAUAUCUGCACAAGAGAUUAUCACUGAUACUGAAGAUAAUCAUGAUCAGUGAUUACUGAUACUGAAGAUAAUAUCAUAUCUACUGAAGACAAUACUGAUACUGAAGAUAAUCAUGAUCAAGGAUUGCUAUCAUAAUCAGGGAUCCCUGAUACUGAAGAGAUCAUGAUCAGGGAUCACUGAUACUGAAGAUAAUCAUGAUCUCUGAUCAUAUCUGCACAAGAGAUUACUGAUACUGAAAAUCAUCGUAAUCAUAUCUGCAACAGAAAUUCUAGGAAUUAAGUGUAUAUCUUAUCAUUAAUUGCAUUUUUAAUGAUAGGAUUUUUGAAUCAGGGAUUGUAAUAUAUAUAAGACCAUGAUGUAACAGUAUAUCAAUUAAUAAAGCAAAUAUAUUUCUGUAAUACUUCUUCCGCACAUCUUUCUCUCUUUAUUCUUUUAUCUUUCAAGCAGUAAAUAGAAAACCCUCCUUAACAUGCAGCAUAAUAAAUAAUAACCGAGAGUUCUGUGAUGUUGCAGGCUUUUCAGCAGUUCACUGGUAUCAACACAGUCAUGUACUAUAGCCCCAACCAUUGUGCAGAUGGCUGGUUUUAGUUCCAACCAGCUAGCACUUCUCCUGUCCCUUGUUAUUGCUGCCAUGAAUGCCGCUGGAACAGUUCUUGGCAUUUACCUUAUUGAUCAUUUCGGGAGGAAAAGGUUGGCCAUCUCAAGCUUAGCUGGUGUAAUUGCAUCACUUUUCAUUCUUGCUGGAGCAUUUUUUGGCAAGUCAUCUGGUUCUUCAAAUGAACUCUAUGGGUGGAUUGCAGUUUUGGGGUUAGCCCUGUGUAUUGCUUGCUUCUCACCAGGAAUGGGACCUGUUCCAUGGACUGUGAACUCAGAGAUAUAUCCCGAACAAUAUCGAGGAAUAUGCGGGGGCAUGUCAGCUACUGUUAACUGGAUCUCCAAUCUGAUAGUAGCCCAAACUUUCCUUUCAAUUGCCGAAGCAGUAGGAACAGGUUCGACUUUCUUGAUGCUUGCGGGCACAGCAGUGCUCGCAGUUGUGUUUGUGAUUAUGUAUGUCCCAGAGACCAUGGGGCUGGCAUUUGUUGAAGUUGAGCAGAUAGGGAAGGAGAGGGCAUGGGGCAGUAGUUACAACACAGAAAGCCUUCUUGAUCAAGGAAACGACAAAUGAGUCUUAGUAGGUGCCGUGCGCACUUGCUGAGCUUGAUAAUAUCAGCGCCAAAUUGUAGGUUUAUAAAACAGUCUGUAUGAAGAUCCUUUGAAUUCAACCCCACUGCAUGAGCAGAAGCCCACUUUAUGUAAAAUUAUUUAAAAAAUAUUUUGAAAAAAAUAUUUUAAAAAGUAAUUAUUGAAAAGUAAUCGUUACCUUCCCGCCACUCUAAGCCUGGAGUAACAGGUUUCAGUGAAACCAUGGAAAUGAUGAAAUUGACAGCACUGUGUUUUUGACUUGCAUUAAACCUUACACAUUACAUGUUAUUUGAUUUCAGAUAUUGGAUGAAUAUUGUCAUCAAUCAAACCAUAAAAACAUGACUGGUAGUUGAAGUUCAGUGUAGAAGCCAUCUACCUUCCAUCUAUCUUCCCUUUCAAUGGCAUACGUAAGCCAAUACGUAUAAAAAUUGUUGUAUUUAAAAAAAGAUUGAAUUUAUUUUAUUUUAUUUUUUAUUUUAUUUUUAUUAUAUUUUUAUUAUAUUUUUUUUAUUUUUUUUAAAUGUCUCUAAAAAAAAUAAAUAGGUGUUUUGAGAAGGUUAAUUUUAAAUUUAAAUUUUUUAUUUUAGAAUCGUAAAUCAAAAGAGUUGGCAUCUAUUUAUUUUUUUUACUAUUUUUAAAAUUGUAAUUUUAUUUAAAAUUUAAUUAUUGAUACUUAAAAUGGUUCAAAACAUGAAAUUUUAUUAAAAAUUUUAAAUUUAAUUUAAUUUAAAGGAUUUCACACAUCUUUAUAACGAAAAUUGUACUCCUUUCUCUCACGUAAGUGAAAUUCAUAAAAAAAAAAAAAUCUAGGAAAUACAACAUUAUGAUCAUCACAUCAGCAGUGGUUCUUUCGGACCACACAAUUUGGACGCAAAAGGCAUACAUAAAUGCAGGCAGGAGCACUCCUACACGAGAAUGAAAAGCACAAAGACUGGUUUUGUUAAUUAGAGAAAUGGAGAAGCAAGAAAGAAUCUGUCAUGUAGCGGUCAUACCUUAUCCUGCUCAAGGUCACAUUAACCCCAUGAUCCAGUUCUCCAAGCAACUAGCCUCCAAAGGACUCCAAGUAACACUGGUCAUCUUCUCAAGCCAGACGCUCUCGACGCCUGCAUCGCUUGGCUCAGUCAAAGUGGUGACCGUUUCUGAUAGUUCUGAUACAGGCAGCAGUUCCAUAGGUGACCUUCUAAAACAAUUCCAAGCUACAGUGGCACCAAAACUGCCACAACUCGUUGUAGAACUAGGUAUCUCUUCUGGGCAUCCAGUAAGUUGCCUAGUGUAUGACUCAUUCAUGCCUUGGGUUCUAGAGAUAGCUAGACAGCUUGGCCUCAUUGGGGCUUCCUUCUUCACACAGUCAUGUGCUGUUAGCUCUGUCUACUACCAAAUCCAUGAGGGGCAGCUAAAGAUUCCACUAGAGAAGUUUCCUGUAUCAGUUCCAGGGCUGCCACCUCUAGACGUUGAUGAACUGCCAUCAUUCGUGCACGACAUGGAAUCAGAAUACUCAUCUAUACUUACCGUAGUAGUCAAUCAGUUUUUGAAUUUCAGGGGAGCUGAUUGGGUCUUUGUGAACAGUUUCAACACCCUGGAGGAGGAGGUACCCUUGAAGAAGUUACAUAAAGAAAAGUAGCAGUACUUCGAAUUCUUAAUUGAAUUCUUUUUUCUCUGCUCAUACUAAUAGAUAUUACCAUAUUUGCAAAGUAUGCUGCCUUCAAUUCUAUGGCACUCAAGAUUUUGCUUAUUUGUAUCAGGUGGUAAACUGCCUGGCAAGCCAGAGGUCAAUCAAGCCAAUAGGACCCAUGAUUCCAUCAGUUUACUUGGACAGGCAGCUAGAGGAUGACACGGAGUAUGGCCUCAGCCUCUUCAAACCUGCUCUCGACGGUUGCAUGCAAUGGCUAGAGUCAAAGGAAACUGGCUCCGUGGUUUACGUGUCAUUUGGAAGCAUGGCUGCUCUGGGAGAAGAGCAAAUGGCAGAAAUAGCUUGGGGCCUAAGGAGGAGCGACUGCUACUUCUUGUGGGUAGUCAGAGAAUCGGAAGAGAAAAAACUUCCAUGCAACUUUGUGGAGGGGUCCUCAGAGAAGGGUCUGAUUGUGACCUGGAGCCCUCAGCUAGAGGUUCUGUCUCACAAGUCUGUUGGUUGCUUCAUGACUCAUUGCGGGUGGAACUCGACGCUUGAAGCGUUGAGCUUAGGAGUGCCAAUGGUGGCAGUGCCACAGUGGACUGAUCAACCAACAAAUGCGAAGUACAUAGCAGAUGUUUGGCGUGUAGGAGUUAGAGUGAAGGCAAAUGAAAAGGGGAUUGUCACAAAGGAAGAGUUAGAAAAGUGUACGAGGGAAGUCAUGGAAGGUGAAAGAGGGAGUGAGAUGAGAAGGAAUUCUGAGAAAUGGAAGAAACUAGCCAAAACAGCCAUGGGUGAAGGUGGAAGCUCUGAUAAGAAUAUUACGGAAUUUGCAGCAAAAAUUGCUAGCAAGUUCAAUGAAACCACAGAUUCAAAAGCGUGAAAGCUAUGCAUGGCUUUAAAACUUGGAAAAAUGCUUCUUCUCCAUCAAUUUAUUUUACAAGAUUCGAUGAUAGUUGUCAUAUGAAGUAUGAACUAUAAAAUACAAGAUCCAAAUCAUGUUUUCAUGAUGAAAGAAAUAAUAUCAUGUUACUCCAUUUCAAUCUCUUUUCUUCUUCUUAUUUUUUAGAAAAAAAUCAAUUAUAAACAAAAAUAAACGGUUAAGAUUCACACUUUGAUAUAUUACACAUAAGAUUUUUAUUAACAUGUGUGAGAAUAUUGUUCUGUCAAUUAUUCAUUAUGAUUUAGAAAGACAAGUCACAAGCCAACACACAUUUCCAAACAAGCAUUAAAGAUUGAACAAUGAUGGAAAAAAUAAGUCAAAAAAAUCAAAAACCAAGUCCCCAUGGGCAAAAUUCGACCACAAUUUUGUGGUGAGGAGGAAUUGGAUGGAAAUUCAACAACGUUCAAAUUUCAAGGGUGCCGAACCCAUACAUUUUUUGCUUCACCUAUUUUUGAGUCAAAACAAUAGUUUGAGUAGUGGAUAUGAGGUAGACGAGUUGUUAGAUAUAUUAUUCAUGGGUUUGGUAUCAUACCGAGUCCAAGUAAGUAGGAGUCCGAUAAGGUACUAGACUUAGUUUUUCAUGCCAAAAUGUAUUAAAAUAAUAUUUUUUUAUUUUUUUAAAAUUAUUUUUGAAAUUAACGUAUCAAAACAUUUUAAAAUAUACAAAUAUUAAUUAUUUUUAUAAAAAUUUAAAAUUUUAUACAACAUGAUUUAUACUGCAUUUCUAAACGAUGUCUUAGCUUCCUUAUACUUUGCUAAACACCAAGCCUUUAUUAAUCAUGUAUCCAGGGAACUAUCAGAUUUAUUAUUCGUAAACUUGAUUGCACAUCAAGCACAUUUAAACAUGGAUAUGGCGACCUUCUCAAACUGGGCUUGGCUUCAAAUUUCAUUCGAACGGCUGAGAAGCUGAAACAUGAAAAACAACAUUUUGUUGUUGAGUAGCAUCCUGUCGAUCAAUUUUCCCGCAAGAUUAUUAGGCGUAAGAGGCAUCAUCAUCGUGGCAGAGUAGAUACGUGCACCCAUAAUAUAAGCUUGAUCUUGGGAAAUUUUCUUAUUUUUGAAGAUUUUGAUAUCUUAGCAAAUAUAUUUGUUAGCAACAACAAAUUGCUAACGUAAGCAAAAAAAAAAAGAAAAUUUAACAUGUAAAAUAUAAAUUUUACAUCGAAUCAAUGUGAAAAUAUAAUUAUUUGUGAGCAUGGAUUUAUUGAUUAUCAAUGUGAAAAUAUAAAUCUCGCUAACGUAAAAAAAAAGAAUUAAUAUGUAAAAUAUAAGUUAGUCAACAAAAACAAUCCAAUAAAUGAUUGACACACGUCAAUUCAAAAUUUAAAAAUAAAAAAUAAUCUUAAAUAAAAAAAGGAUGAAAAUCAAUUUUUUUAAUGAAAUAAAAAAAUAUUGUUAUCCAUAAAUAUAAUUACCCUUGCGUGAGCACAUGCCCUUUAUGGGGUAUCAGAUUCAGGAAUACAGGGCUUGAAAGCAUUGUAUGAACAGUUUUUGUUCGCCAUUAUCCAACGAUGGGCCUUUUUCUGUUAUUUCUUCGAAAAUGAAGUUUAAUUUUUUAACUUUAUUUUAUUUAUUUAAAUAUGCACACCUUGGAAAAUGACCCUCGCCCAUUUUUAAAACAACCCAGAAUCCAAGAAUUAAUCAAAAUCACCAAAAGAUCAUUCACUCUCUUGUAUGGGUCAUAGUUAUAGAACCGAAUUCUCUUGGGGAGUUGACUCAGGAUUUAAUAUCUAGAUUUAUCCGAGCAAAGAAAAAACUAAGAGAGAAAUUGAUUUGAUCUAAUCUGAUUAAAAACUAAAGUUGAUUUGUGAUCCAAUCAAUCUCGAUAAAACCUAACAAAAAAUAUGUUAGAGUUUUUAUAUAUAUAUAUAUAUAUAUAUAUAUAUAUAUAUAUAUAAAACGAUUAGUAAACCCUCCUAAUUUAAUGAACAAGCCUUAUUUCAAAUCGAUUUCCGGCCUUAUUUCAAAUCGAUUUCCAUAUCAAAUUUUUAAAACUAUAGCAUGGAUGAUCAACCUCGUAAUUAUGGUUUAUUUGUUUCUAUGUUUUAAAAACGUUUUUAAAAAUUUUAAAUUUUUUUUAUUUUUUUCUUUGUUUCAAAUUAAUAUUUUUGUUUUUUUCGGAUCAUUUUGAUCUAUUGUUGUUAAAAAUAAUUUUUAAAAAUAAAAAAUAUAUUAUUUUAAUGCAUUUCUAAGCAAAAUACACUUUAAAAAAUAAUCAUUACCACCCUUUUAAACACCUUUUGAAAAAAAAAAAGAAAAAUAAUUUUGCUUUUUAGUAAAAGAAAUUUGUGUGAACAUGAACCGUCCUUUUCUUAUCAGAGACUCCUGGAAACUGUUAACAUUAGAGCUCCUUUCUUCACCUUCCGAGGGAUAGUUGAUGACUCUACGGAGGACGGUCUUUCGUCUCUCUGAUACAGAGUUUGAAUGGCAUUGGCUAUUGAUGAAUUUCUCGCAUGGAAAAACUUUUGGGCAUUGGCUGUUAGAUUCUGGUGGGUGUUUUGGAUUAGAUCUGAAGUCAUAUUCUCUGAAUUAUAUUCAUUGAGGGCAUGAUAUGGUCCUAGGUCCCUGGCAUGAGCCUAGUGAUAUGCUUAGUUAGCCUUAAUAAAUUUUAAACUAACAAGGGCACAAUGUAAUAACAUCCAAGUUCUUGAACCGAUUUAGUUUAAAAUUUUUGUUGGCUCUGCCUUAACGUUAAGGCUGAAAGAGAAAUCUGGUUACUGAAUAUAGAGAGUGCUUUGAUGCAAAGGUCCGUGCCUAACUCCUCUUCUCUUCCAGAAAUAGAAUUCAUAUGUGUGAGUUAUCCAUCAUCUUUUAUCUGUAUUGAGUCCCUUGCUGCUUAUUGACCGUAUAUUUAGGUAAUCAUACGAGUUUAAUGAUAUAAUUAAUUUAAGAAAGAAGAAGUAUAGCAGAGAAGAAGUCUGUGGUCAGGGAUUAUUCAGUAUUGUUGUUACCUAAUUUUUUAUCCAUCUUUUUAAUAAAAUUUUGGAAAAAAAACUAAAAAUAAGGAAAAACAACAAAAAUCCAAAAAAUAUGUUUUUUAAUAUAUUUGCAUUGUUUUUAGUAUUUUCAGUAUCGUCUCAAAAAAAAUUAAUUUUUCAAAGAACUUUGGAACGCGUUAUUUUUAAAAUCACCGAUUUUUCUCAUUCGAGUCGAUGUUGAUAAGAAAAAUCUAAAUAGAAACGUUCGUGACCCGCAGAUCUAGAUCCAUUUCCAACCGAACUCGCCGACUGGACAACCACACCCAUCUCCUUAACAGCAACGGUCGUGACCCGCCACCGCUAGAUCUGCCACCAGAAGGAGAGGGAAAGAACAACAAACCAAAAAAGACUCGAAAGAAGCAGAUCAGGAGAAGGAGAAGAAAAAAAAGGAUCCGUGAAAAAGGAGAAAGAAAUUAAAAUCAACUGGCUUGUGUGUUUUUCUCCUUUUGCAGGUGAUAGUGAUCAUCACCGCUGGUGACGAAAGGAAAAGGAGAAGAAGCUAAUCUCGACCGCCCUGUUUCCCUGUUGUUCUCGCGGACUGUUCUUGCAGUUCUGAAGGCCUUCCCUGCAAUUCCUAGAGUUUUUUGGGUUUAUUUUGUAAAUUUAAAAAAAUUUAAUGUAGUUUUUGUUUAGUUUUGAAUUUUUAUAAUAUGUAGUGUGCAAAUGUGGAUGUAAAAAAGGAAAACAAAAAAAAAUAUAGUGAAAGUGAAUGUGUUGUUUGUAUUUUUUUUAUGGAUGUUUUUUUAUGAUAAAAUUACAAAGAAUAAAGAAAAAUUUAAUGUUUUGACUUGCUCACGGUAAAGGAUUAUAAACUUACACGUAAGUUGUAUUUCUAAUAUCCGAUGAAAGGAUAAAAUUUUUAAAACUUCUUUAUCAUAUCAAAUCACGAAGCAGCUUACCUCAGGUAGGGUGCGUUAGGGGUGCUAAUACAUUUUCUAGCCACAACCAAUCCCUUACCCUUGAAUCUCUGACGAUGACCAAUGCAUUUGGGUUUCCUAGUAACCUUUACUGAAAUACUAGAUGGCGACUCUCAAAUCAUCAAUCAAACAAAUGAAAAUCGCCAACAGACACCGCGCGGGUCAUUUGCGACAAGUACCGUUCUAUUAAAAAUAACUUUGGCAUUUAUAGCCAUACACUUCAUAACAGAAUUAACAAACAAACAAAUAAGAAGGAGUUCCAGCACUCUCCACGUCUAACAAUUAACCAACUGAUCCAUGUUUUGCAGUUCCCUAAAGUAGUGCAGUCACUACUUGUUCCUGUAGCAUGAUCUCCUGGCCACGUUCUUGUGAUAGUGGAUGUGUCAUUCCCGCCCACUUAAGAAUCCUUGUCCAUAAGGAUAGAAGAAGGAUAAGUCCUAGUGAAACGCCAUUCAUUCUCCACUGAUUCGAGUUGGCCAUUCACAGUGUCCUCACUGCAUAUGUUAGGAGAAUCCCAAAUCAUAAAUAAUUGUGGAUGUUGGCAACGAUUCCUCGAAUAAACUUUUCAUCACAGUAGUAGCACAAACCCUUCUCUCUUUGCUCUCGUGCCUCUUGAUUAGUAAUUUUGCAAAAAGACGCUGGUGGUGCACUGGGACUGGUAUUUAUCCUUGGACCUUGUGGCGGCCCUAACACUCCAGCCGUGGGGUUGGGUGAUGUCUUCGCUAUCACUGAGGUUGGUACUGGGUUUGGUACAGACUGUAUUGGGAGAGGGCCUCUCUUCUUCAAUUGAUUUCUUUCCUCGAUCAAUCUUGCCAUUCCAAUGGUAUCUGCUAAGGUAUGGGGUUGCUUGAUUUUAACAUCCAAACGAAUCUCAUCCUGAAGUCCUGCAAUAAAACAACGAAUCAAAAAAUUUCCCGGCAAACCAUCAACUUGAUGUGGGAGUCUCUCAAAAGUCUCUUAAUAAGCUACCACCGACGUGUUUUGUUUAAGAUGAGUCAAGGCUUCAGACGGGUCCUCAUAGUCGGUUGGACCGAAUCUCUGUUGUAUAGCCUUGAUAAACUCAUCCCAUGUUAGUGGUUCACGAAACUUGGUCAACCACCUAUGCCACUAUAAGGCAAUGCCCUCUAAAUGGAAAGAGGCCAAUUAAACCUGCUGGUUUGGCACAAUAUUUUGAAAUUUAAAAUAUUAUUUUGCCUUGUAAAUCAAUCCAGUUGGAUCACCUGCAUUAAAUUUUGGAAAUGAUAACCUGAGAUUGUGGUGUUGAUGGUUAUUAAUGGGGUUAGGGUGGGUGGUCUGGUGGUGUGAAGACUCUUCAUUAGCAAAGGUGUUAAUUUCAGGAGAACUAGUGUUUAGGUUACGAGUAGUAUGAAGAGCUUGAAGUUCUGUCAAUACCACUUAUAAGGUAGCAUUAAUUUCAUCAAAGCUCGACUCGUGUCUAACUAGGAUUUCAUUGACUUCAUUGUGAAAUUAUGUGUUUGAUUUGCCGCGAGUAUCCAUGGUCUAAACCAAGAAUAACUAGGGUGAACUAGGACCUGUGGGUUAUGGGGAACAGGCUCUGAUACCACUGAUAUAAUUAAUUUAAGAAAGAAGAAGCAUAGCAAAGAAGAUCGAAGUCUGUGGUUAGGGAUUAUUCAGUACCCUUCUAUUAAAAAAAACUUUGACAUUUAUAGUCAUAUACUUCGUAACAGAAUUAACAAACAAAAAGGAAGGAGUUACAACACUCUUCACGUCUAACAAUUAACUAACUUAUCCAUGUUCUGCAGUUCCCUAAAGUAGUGCAGUCACUACUUGUUCCUGUAGCAUGAUCUCCUGGCCACGUUCUUGUGAUAGAGGAUGUAUCAUUUAAGUGCUUCUGGCACCGUGACAGUGUUUGAAAUAUGGAUCAUCUGAUAUUCUUUCCAUUGAAAUACACUAGUGUCCAGGUGAAACACAAAAGGAGCCAUGAUCAGCUAACAAAAUUCAAGCAGUAAAUAGAAAACCCUCCUUAACAAGCACCGUACCAAAUAAUAACCGAUAGUUAUGUGAUGUUGCAGGCCUUUCAGCAGUUCACUGGUAUCAACACAGUCAUGUACUAUAGCCCAACCAUUGUGCAGAUUGCUGGUUUUAGUUCCAACCAGUUAGCACUUCUCCUGUCCCUUGUUAUUGUUGCCAUGAACGCCGCCGGAACAGUUCUUGGCAUUUACCUUAUUGAUCAUUUCGGGAGGAAAAAGUUGGCCAUCUCAAGCUUAGCUGGUGUAAUUGCAUCACUUUUCAAUAUUCUUGCUGGAGCAUUUUUUGGCAAGUCAUCUGGUUCUUCAAAUGAACUCUAUGGGUGGAUUGCAGUUUUGGGGUUAGCGCUGUGCAUUGCUUGCUUCUCACCAGGAAUGGGACCUGUUCCAUGGACUGUGAACUCAGAGAUAUAUCCCGAACAACAUCGAGGAAUAUGUGGGGGAAUGUCAGCUACUGUUAACUGGAUCUCCAAUCUGAUAGUAGCUAGCCCAAAGUACUUUCCUUUCAAUUGCCGAAGCAGUAGGAACAGGUUCGACUUUCUUGAUGCUUGCGGGCAUAGCAGUGCUCGCAGUUGUGUUUGUGAUUAUGUAUGUCCCAGAGACCAUGGGGCUGGCAUUUGUUGAAGUUGAGCAGGUAUGGAAGGAGAGGGCAUGGGGCAGUAGUUACAACACAGAAAGCCUUCUUGAGCAAGGAAACGACAAAGGAGUCUUAGUAGGUGCCGUGCGCACUUGCUGAGCUUGAUAAUAUCAGCGCCAAAUUGUAGGUUUAUAAAACAAUCUGUAUGUAUUGGAGCUAUAACUAAAUCUGCUCUGCCCGUAAAAUCUUGUGCAUGAAGAUGCUUUGAAUCCAACCCCACUGCAUGAGCAGAAGCCCCUCACUUUCAUGUAAAAUUACUUCACGUAAAAAAAUAUUUUGAAAAGUAAUUGUUAGGAAACUUCCAACUACUCUGAAAAGCAUGGAGUAACAGGCUUUAGUUUUACCAUGGAAAUGAUGAAAUUGACAGCACACUUGUUUUACUAGCAUUAAACCUAACACAUUACAUGUUAUUUAAUCAAACCAUAAAGACAAGAAAAAUGACUGGUAGUUGAAGUUUAGGGUAGAAGCCAUCUACCUUCCCUUGCAAUUGCAUUCGUAAGCCAAUACGUAUGAAAAUUGUUGUAUUUAAAAAAUAUCGAAUUCAAUUUAUUUUAUUUUUUAUAUUAUUUUUAUUUUAUUUCUUUUAUUUCUUUAAAUAUUUCUAAAAAAUAAUAAAUAGGUGUUUUGAGAAGGUUACUUUUAAAUUUAAUUUUUUUAUUUUAGAAUUGUAAAUCAAAACAGUAUCUAUUUAUUUUUUUAUCAUUUCUAAAAAUUAAAUUCUAUUUAAAAUUUAAUUAUUAAUACUUAAAAUGGUUCAAAACAUGUGUUUUUAUUAAAAAAUAAUAAUUUAAUUUAAUUUAGAGGAUUUCAAAAGAUGCUUUAUAGGAAAAUUGUACUCCCUUCUCUCACGUAAAAGACUGGUUCUUUCGGACCACACAAUUUGGACGCAAAAGGCAUACAUAAAUGCAGGCAGGAGUACUCCUACACGAGAAAGAAAAGCACAAAGACUGGUGUUGUUAAUUAGAGAAAUGGAGAAGCAAGAAAGAAUCUGUCAUGUAGUGGUCAUACCUUAUCCUGCUCAAGGUCACAUUAACCCCAUGAUCCAGUUCUCCAAGCGCCUAGCCUCCAAAGGACUCCAAGUAACACUGGUCAUCUUCUCAAGCCAGACGCUCUCGACGCCUGCCUCGCUUGGCUCAGUCAAAGUGGUGACCGUUUCUGAUAGUUCUGAUACAGGCAGCAGUUCCAUAGGUGACCUUCUAAAACAAUUCCAAGCUACAGUGGCACCAAAACUGCCACAGCUCGUUGUAGAACUAGGUAUCUCUUCUGGGCAUCCAGUAAGUUGCCUAGUGUAUGACUCAUUCAUGCCUUGGGUUCUAGAGAUAGCUAGACAGCUUGGCCUCAUUGGGGCUUCCUUCUUCACACAGUCAUGUGCUGUUAACUCUGUCUACUACCAAAUCCAUGAGGGGCAGCUAAAGAUUCCACUAGAGAAGUUUCCUGUAUCAGUUCCAGGGCUGCCACCUCUAGACGUUGAUGAACUGCCAUCAUUCGUGCACGACAUGGAAUCAGAAUACUCAUCUAUACUUACCCUAGUAGUCAAUCAGUUUUUGAAUUUCAGGGGAGCUGAUUGGGUCUUUGUGAACAGUUUCAACACCCUGGAGGAGGAGGUACCCUUGAAGAAGUUACAUAAAGAAAAGUAGCAGUACUUCGAAUUCUUAAUUGAAUUCUUUUUUCUCUGCUCGUACUAAUAGAUAUUACCAUAUUUGCAAAGUAUGCUGCCUUCAAUUCUAUGGCACUCAAGAUUUUGCUUUUUUGUAUCAGGUGGUAAACUGCCUGGCAAGCCAGAGGUCA
RNAcentral lists this long non-coding RNA (26031 nucleotides) under Populus trichocarpa (black cottonwood). RNAcentral describes it as "long non-coding RNA (PTRI_LNC003767)". Lineage: Eukaryota; Viridiplantae; Streptophyta; Magnoliopsida; Malpighiales; Salicaceae. The record is from RNAcentral.